AGAAACCCACAAGUCUCAGAG
RNAcentral lists this unclassified non-coding RNA (21 nucleotides) under Mus musculus (house mouse). Its description in RNAcentral is "oocyte_clustered_small_RNA8460". The record is from RNAcentral. Lineage: Eukaryota; Metazoa; Chordata; Mammalia; Rodentia; Muridae.